RNAcentral lists this non-coding RNA (45 nucleotides) under Schistosoma margrebowiei. The record is from RNAcentral. Lineage: Eukaryota; Metazoa; Platyhelminthes; Trematoda; Strigeidida; Schistosomatidae.
GUCUAGCUGACGAGUCCCGAAUAGGACGAGACGCGAGUCCUGAAU